Molecule: ribosomal RNA, 253 nt
Filed under: uncultured bacterium
Lineage: Bacteria
Description: partial 16S ribosomal RNA
Rfam family: Bacterial small subunit ribosomal RNA
Source: RNAcentral
UACGUAGGGUGCAAGCGUUGUCCGGAAUUAUUGGGCGUAAAGAGCUCGUUGGCGGUCUGUCGCGUCUGCUGUGAAAACUCGGGGCUUAACCCCGGGCCUGCAGUGGGUACGGGCAGACUAGAGUGCGGUAGGGGAGACUGGAAUUCCUGGUGUAGCGGUGAAAUGCGCAGAUAUCAGGAGGAACACCGGUGGCGAAGGCGGGUCUCUGGGCAACAACUGACGCUGAGGAGCGAAAGCGUGGGGAGCGAACAGG